This 574-nucleotide ribosomal RNA is filed under the name uncultured bacterium. RNAcentral's name for it is "bacterial SSU rRNA". It matches the Rfam family "Bacterial small subunit ribosomal RNA", at positions 209 to 795 of the family's 1533-position model. The record is from RNAcentral.
UUUGGCUCUCGUUGCAGGAUGAGCCCACAUCCGAUUAGCUAGUUGGUGGGGUAAAGGCCUACCAAGACGGCGAUCGGUAGCUGGUCUGAGAGGAUGAGCAGCCACACUGGGACUGAGACACGGCCCAGACUCCUACGGGAGGCAGCAGUGGGGAAUUUUCCGCAAUGGGCGCAAGCCUGACGGAGCAAGACCGCGUGGGGGAGGAAGGCUCUUGGGUUGUAAACCCCUUUUCUCAGGGAAGAACACAAUGACGGUACCUGAGGAAUCAGCCUCGGCUAACUCCGUGCCAGCAGCCGCGGUAAUACGGAGGAGGCAAGCGUUAUCCGGAAUUAUUGGGCGUAAAGCGUCCGCAGGUGGUGGGGCAAGUCGGCGGUUAAAGACUGGGGCUUAACUCCAGAAAGGCCGUGGAAACUGCACCACUAGAGGGCAGUAGGGGUAGAGGGAAUUCCCGGUGUAGCGGUGAAAUGCGUAGAGAUCGGGAAGAACACCAGUGGCGAAAGCGCUCUACUGGACUGCAACUGACACUCAGGGACGAAAGCUAGGGGAGCGAAUGGGAUUAGAUACCCUGGUAGUC